UGCGGAUUCCGAGGCUGCCCUCU
This 23-nucleotide unclassified non-coding RNA is filed under the name Chlamydomonas reinhardtii. Its description in RNAcentral is "small RNA Cre_3117". The record is from RNAcentral. Lineage: Eukaryota; Viridiplantae; Chlorophyta; Chlorophyceae; Chlamydomonadales; Chlamydomonadaceae.